UGGGGAAUUUUGGACAAUGGGCGAAAGCCUGAUCCAGCAAUGCCGCGUGUGUGAAGAAGGCCUUCGGGUUGUAAAGCACUUUUGUCCGGAAAGAAAUCCUUGGCUCUAAUACAGUCGGGGGAUGACGGUACCGGAAGAAUAAGCACCGGCUAACUACGUGCCAGCAGCCGCGGUAAUACGUAGGGUGCAAGCGUUAAUCGGAAUUACUGGGCGUAAAGCGUGCGCAGGCGGUUUGCUAAGACCGAUGUGAAAUCCCCGGGCUCAACCUGGGAACUGCAUUGGUGACUGGCAGGCUAGAGUAUGGCAGAGGGGGGUAGAAUUCCACGUGUAGCAGUGAAAUGCGUAGAGAUGUGGAGGAAUACCGAUGGCGAAGGCAGCCCCCUGGGCCAAUACUGACGCUCAUGCACGAAAGCGUGGGGAGCAAACAGGAUUAGAUACCCUGGUAGUCCCACGCCUAAAACGAUGUCAACUAGUUGUUGGGGAUUCAUUUCCUUAGUAACGUAGCUAACGCGUGAAGUUGACCGCCUGGGGAGUACGGUCG
This 541-nucleotide ribosomal RNA is filed under the name uncultured bacterium. Its description in RNAcentral is "partial 16S ribosomal RNA". It matches the Rfam family "Bacterial small subunit ribosomal RNA", at positions 355 to 888 of the family's 1533-position model. The record is from RNAcentral.